RNAcentral lists this ribosomal RNA (253 nucleotides) under uncultured bacterium. RNAcentral's name for it is "partial 16S ribosomal RNA". It matches the Rfam family "Bacterial small subunit ribosomal RNA", at positions 524 to 776 of the family's 1533-position model. The record is from RNAcentral.
UACGGGGGGGGCAAGCGUUGUUCGGAAUUACUGGGCGUAAAGCGCGCGUAGGCGGCUUUUCAAGUCAGACGUGAAAUCCUUAGGCUUAACCUGAGAACUGCGUUUGAUACUGUUGGGCUAGAGUGUGGAAGGGGCUACUAGAAUUCCGUGUGUAGCGGUGAAAUGCGUAGAUAUCAGGAGGAACACCGGUGGCGAAGGCGGGUCUCUGGGCCGAUACUGACGCUGAGGAGCGAAAGCGUGGGGAGCGAACAGG